Molecule: long non-coding RNA, 882 nt
Organism: Lycium barbarum (goji berry)
Lineage: Eukaryota; Viridiplantae; Streptophyta; Magnoliopsida; Solanales; Solanaceae
Exons: 3
Source: RefSeq, a predicted model, not a curated record
UCCCGAUUUUGUUUCAAUGCACAAGUUGCCUAUAAAUUUAUUGAUAUAAAAAAAAUAUUAUUGGAGAUUAGGGGUAAAUUAACUAUGAUUAGAUUAUUAAGUGGGAUUAAAAUUUAAUCACUUCAUUAAUUAAUUAAGCCUAAGGGGACAUGUGGGCCCCACCCGAAUAAAAAAAAUAAAAAACAAUAAAGGAAUCAAAAUCUGAAAAUUAACAAAAACAAGUGCAAAGAUGACUCAACAUAAGGGGAGUACGUGUAGCAUGAUGGGAAACCAUAUAUAAAAUAAAGCAUAGUGCAAAUGACACUUUCCAACUUCAUUUGUUGAAAAUCAGCUUUCAAGAACAACAAGAAGACAUCUAUGGCUGCUCACGGCCAGAUUGAGGUUUAACAAAAAAAAAAAAAAAAAAAAACAGUUUGUAGCUUAAUAAAAUUCUAAGGAGAAGACAAGGAGAUAGAGGUGGAAAAGCAAGAACAAGUAUAAGAAUUUAAGACACAAAUUGGAGCCAAGUAUUCAAGGCGAAAAGAGCGACGAGGCAAAAAGGAUUCACGGAUAGUCGUCGACAGGUACAAACGCUCGUUUUGGAGAUCCGUCAGCUUAGGGUACCUAUUCAGCUAUUUUGGACUGCUCCUUUGUUCUGGAGCCUAGCCUGUGGUAUAACUCCCUUUUAUUGUAUAUAUAAGUGUUUAUUCGGGGUACGGCGGGGCCCUGUCCCGUCAUAUGAUAUUGUCGUUACUCUUAGAGGUCUGUGGACAUCUUUGUGGGUCUGUAUAUAGUUGUUGUUGCGUUGUAUGACUAUGACUUAUGUUUGGGGCGUACCCAUUCGUAAUGGCAGCCUUGUCGGCUUGCGUAUCUAUGCAUAUGUUUUGGGAUGUUGUGCGUAGU